RNAcentral lists this unclassified non-coding RNA (287 nucleotides) under uncultured fungus. RNAcentral's name for it is "partial contains 5.8S ribosomal RNA, internal transcribed spacer 2, and large subunit ribosomal RNA". The stretch from base 1 to 52 matches the Rfam family "5.8S ribosomal RNA", at positions 103 to 154 of the family's 154-position model. Lineage: Eukaryota; Fungi. The record is from RNAcentral.
AACGCAUCUUGCGCUCCUUGGUAUUCCAUGGAGCAUGCCUGUUUGAGUGUCACGUAAACCCUCACCCUUGCGAUGUAACAGUCGCUCGCGGUGGACUUGGACUGUGCCGUAACCGGCUCGUCUUGAAAUGCAUUAGCUGGCGCUUUUAGAGUGCUGGGCGACGGUGUGAUAAUUAUCUGCGCCAAUGCCUUAGGCCUCUUCAGCGGUGCUGCUUACAGCCGUCCCUCUGCGGACACAUUUUUUAAAGCUUUGGCCUCAAAUCAGGUAGGACUACCCGCUGAACUUAA